UGGCUCAGAACGAACGCUGGCGGCAGGCCUAACACAUGCAAGUCGAGCGCGCCCUUCGGGGUGAGCGGCGGACGGGUUAGUAACGCGUGGGAACGUACCCUUUGGUAGGGAAUAGCCACUGGAAACGGUGAGUAAUACCCUAUGAGCCCUUCGGGGGAAAGAUUUAUCGCCAAAGGAUCGGCCCGCGUUAGAUUAGGUAGUUGGUGGGGUAAUGGCCUACCAAGCCUACGAUCUAUAGCUGGUUUUAGAGGAUGAUCAGCAACACUGGGACUGAGACACGGCCCAGACUCCUACGGGAGGCAGCAGUGGGGAAUCUUGGACAAUGGGGGCAACCCUGAUCCAGCCAUGCCGCGUGAGUGAAGGAGGCCUUAGGGUCGUAAAGCUCUUUCGCCUGUGAAGAUAAUGACGGUAGCAGGUAAAGAAACCCCGGCUAACUCCGUGCCAGCCGCCGC
This 452-nucleotide ribosomal RNA is filed under the name uncultured bacterium. RNAcentral describes it as "bacterial SSU rRNA". It matches the Rfam family "Bacterial small subunit ribosomal RNA", at positions 20 to 518 of the family's 1533-position model. The record is from RNAcentral.